Molecule: ribosomal RNA, 696 nt
Filed under: uncultured bacterium
Lineage: Bacteria
Description: bacterial SSU rRNA
Rfam family: Bacterial small subunit ribosomal RNA
Source: RNAcentral
AGGGUUUGUANNACGGCUCAGGAUGAACGCUGGCGGUGCGCCUAAUGCAUGCAAGUCGAGCAACGCAUAUCCCAGUCCGUAAGGACAGGGUAUGACGGAGCGGCGAACGGGUGAGUAACACGUGAGCAACCUGCCCCACAGAUCGGGAUAGCCCAGGGAAACUUGGAUUAAUACCGGAUAUUCUCCUUGGACCGCAUGGUCCGUUGAGGAAAUGCCUUUGUGCUGUGGGAUGGGCUCGCGAUUUAUCAGCUAGUUGGUGGGGUAACGGCCUACCAAGACAAUGACGAGUAGCUGGUCUGAGAGGACGAUCAGCCACACUGGAACUGAGACACGGUCCAGACUCCUACGGGAGGCAGCAGCAGGGAAUCUUGCGCAAUGGACGAAAGUCUGACGCAGCGACACCGCGUGGGGGAUGAAGGCCUUCGGGUUGUAAACCCCUUUUAGGAGGGAAGAAAUUGACGGUACCUCCAGAAAAAGGACCGGCCAACUACGUGCCAGCAGCCGCGGUAAUACGUAGGGUCCGAGCGUUAUCCGGAAUCAUUGGGCGUAAAGAGCUCGUAGGCGGUUCAGCAAGUCGGCUGUGAAAGUUCGAGGCUCAACCUCGAAAUUGCAGUCGAUACUGCUGUGGACUUGAAUUCGGUAGAGGAGAAUGGAAUUCCCGGUGUAGCGGUGAAAUGCGCAGAUAUCGGGAGGAAC